GAUGAACGCUGGCGGCGUGCCUAAUACAUGCAAGUCGAGCGAACGGACGAGAAGCUUGCUUCUCUGAUGUUAUCGGCGGACGGGUGAGUAACACGUGGAUAACCUACCUAUAAGACUGGGAUAACUUCGGGAAACCGGAGCUAAUACCGGAUAAUAUUUUGAACCGCAUGGUUCAAAAGUGAAAGACGGUCUUGCUGUCACUUAUAGAUGGAUCCGCGCUGCAUUAGCUAGUUGGUAAGGUAACGGCUUACCAAGGCAACGAUGCAUAGCCGACCUGAGAGGGUGAUCGGCCACACUGGAACUGAGACACGGUCCAGACUCCUACGGGAGGCAGCAGUAGGGAACCUUCCGCAAUGGGCGAAAGCCUGACGGAGCAACGCCGCGUGAGUGAUGAAGGUCUUCGGAUCGUAAAACUCUGUUAUUAGGGAAGAACAUAUGUGUAAGUAACUGUGCACAUCUUGACGGUACCUAAUCAGAAAGCCACGGCUAACUACGUG
RNAcentral lists this ribosomal RNA (497 nucleotides) under uncultured bacterium. RNAcentral describes it as "partial 16S ribosomal RNA". It matches the Rfam family "Bacterial small subunit ribosomal RNA", at positions 28 to 507 of the family's 1533-position model. The record is from RNAcentral.